RNAcentral lists this ribosomal RNA (253 nucleotides) under uncultured bacterium. RNAcentral describes it as "partial 16S ribosomal RNA". It matches the Rfam family "Bacterial small subunit ribosomal RNA", at positions 524 to 776 of the family's 1533-position model. The record is from RNAcentral.
UACGGGGGGGGUAAGCGUUAUCCGGAAUGAUUGGGCGUAAAGCGUCCGCAGGUGGCUGUGUAAGUCUGCUGUCAAAGAGCGAAGCUCAACUUCGUAAAGGCAGUGGAAACUACACGGCUAGAGUGCGUUCGGGGCAGAGGGAAUUCCUGGUGUAGCGGUGAAAUGCGUAGAUAUCGGGAGGAACGCCGGUGGCGAAAGCGACUGUCUGGGGUGCCUGUGACGCUGAGGCGCGAAAGCCAGGGGAUCAAACGGG